GACGAACGCUGGCGGCGUGCCUAAUACAUGCAAGUAGAACGCAGUUGCGAACGGGUGAGUAACGCGUAGGUAACUGCCUCAUAGCGGGGGAUAACUUUUGGAAACGAUAGCUAAUACCGCAUACUGUGUGAUGGUCCUGCGUUGUAUUAGCUAGUUGGUGAGGUAAAGGGUCACCAAGGGGACGAUACAUAGCCGACCUGGGAGGGUGAUCGGGCAACAGGGGACUGGGACACGGCCCAGACUCCUACGGGAGGCAGCAUGAGGGAAUCUUCGGCAAUGGACGGAAGUCUGACCGAGCAACGCCGCGUGGGUGAAGAAGGGUGUCGGAUCGUAAAGCCCUUUUGUUAGAGAAGCGGUACCUAACCAGAAAGGGACGGCUAACUACGUGCCAGCCGCCGCGGUAAUAC
RNAcentral lists this ribosomal RNA (407 nucleotides) under uncultured bacterium. Its description in RNAcentral is "partial 16S ribosomal RNA". It matches the Rfam family "Bacterial small subunit ribosomal RNA", at positions 28 to 526 of the family's 1533-position model. The record is from RNAcentral.